GAAUAUUGCACAAUGGGGGAAACCCUGAUGCAGCGACGCCGCGUGAGUGAGGAAGUAUUUCGGUAUGUAAAGCUCUAUCAGCAGGGAAGAAAAUGACGGUACCUGACUAAGAAGCCCCGGCUAACUACGUGCCAGCAGCCGCGGUAAUACGUAGGGGGCAAGCGUUAUCCGGAUUUACUGGGUGUAAAGGGAGCGUAGACGGAAUUGCAAGUCUGAUGUGAAAAUCCGAGGCUCAACCCCGGAACUGCAUUGGAAACUGUAUUUCUAGAGUGUCGGAGAGGCAAGUGGAAUUCCUGGUGUAGCGGUGAAAUGCGUAGAUAUCAGGAGGAACACCAGUGGCGAAGGCGGCUUGCUGGGCCGAUACUGACAUUGAGGCACGAAAGCGUGGGGAGCAAACAG
This 399-nucleotide ribosomal RNA is filed under the name uncultured bacterium. Its description in RNAcentral is "bacterial SSU rRNA". It matches the Rfam family "Bacterial small subunit ribosomal RNA", at positions 359 to 775 of the family's 1533-position model. The record is from RNAcentral.